RNAcentral lists this non-coding RNA (102 nucleotides) under Kurthia sp. 11kri321. Its description in RNAcentral is "Purine riboswitch aptamer". It matches the Rfam family "Purine riboswitch aptamer". From Rfam's summary of the family: Riboswitches are metabolite binding domains within certain messenger RNAs that serve as precision sensors for their corresponding targets. Allosteric rearrangement of mRNA structure is mediated by ligand binding, and this results in modulation of gene expression. A class of riboswitches that selectively recognises guanine and becomes saturated at concentrations as low as 5 nM. The record is from Rfam by way of RNAcentral. RNAcentral also lists the same sequence under 1 other name. Lineage: Bacteria; Bacillati; Bacillota; Bacilli; Caryophanales; Caryophanaceae.
AUGUAAAUUAAAUAACGUCGUCGUAUAAAACUGAGAAUAAGGCUCAGAAGUUUCUACCAAGUUACCGUAAAUGACUUGACUACGAUUGAAUAGAUCAUUCUA